This 1590-nucleotide long non-coding RNA is filed under the name Lactuca sativa (garden lettuce). Its description in RNAcentral is "long non-coding RNA (LSAT_LNC000610)". Lineage: Eukaryota; Viridiplantae; Streptophyta; Magnoliopsida; Asterales; Asteraceae. The record is from RNAcentral.
AGGAGAUUUCGGUUUGGAGUUCUGCCUACAUAGUGCAUGGGGUCCACUUUUGAAGUUGUUACUUGCAUUUAGUGGUUUCUUUGUGUCUUCCUUUUAUUGCUUAGUUGUUUAAGAAUUUAAUGCUUAAAGAACAAAGUCAUAUACCUUAUUCUUGGUGGUGUAGAGAAGAUCAAGCUUCUUGUUCUUUCCAUCUUCAUCAACACCCUAAAUCCAAGAGGAUCCAAAGCUUAAAAGUUAUAUUUUAAACACCCUAUGUUUUUUGUAACAUCAUUCUAAUGUCUUUCAAAGGAUCAUUGAUGGAUUGGUUUUGUUAUUUACUUGAAAUUUAUUAGAAAUUUUUAUAGCUCCCGUUGCCGGUUUUUGUAAAUAAAACUAACUAUUUUAUGUAUCAAAACCCAUCAGUGGUAUCAGAGUCAUCUUUUAAACGUUAGAUUAAUUUUUCAUGUUAUGAUAAUCUUUGGUUUUUGGAAAAAAAAAGCAUGGAUUUCUUUUUGGUUAAAUAAAUGUCUAUAUUUGUUUUCUUUGGAAAAUUGUCAUUAAAAGUGUUUAUUUUUUAUGUAACUGUUUUUCCAUGCAUUUUGGUUAUAUAAAAGUUGCCUUAGAAAAAACAAAUAGUUGUUUGUCGAUAUGUUUGUUGUGUAUAAACAAGCCAUUAGGACAUUUGUGGUUUCUAAUUGUUCAUAUGUGAUGAAAGUGAGAAAAUCCAGUGAACCUUAGACUUGAAGAAUCCAAGUGGUGAAAAUACCGAAACAGAGUUGUGAAUCAACCAAGUUAAUGAAAAAACAUUUUUUAUGCUUAAUAUCAAUGAUUUAAAUGUGUCUCAGAUUCAUCAGAAUUCAGUUACAAGUGUUUGAAUGUAAAACACACUAAUACUCUCAAGUGGCUCUCUGAAUACUAGUCUAAAUAGCAAAGUGAUCAGAAUGAGCAGAAAGAAGCAGGGGGUGAGCAGUUUUAUAAUGGAGCCCAAUGGGCCUAUUCAUAGGCUUUGGAAAAGUCCAUGACAUGGCUUGACCAAUCAGAUGUUGACACAUCAUCAUAACUUAGUCAUCGGUUGACACAUUUUCCCUACUUAAUAGAGAAUAGAUGGAAUAUUCCAAUUAUGUUAGUAUUAUGUUAGGGUUCCAUCCAAGUUUUGAGUCUUCAUAUUUCUUGAGCCUUCUUGAUCAACAUUGAAAGUAUGAUCCAAGUUUUGAGUCUUCAUAUAAAUAGAAGGUUAAGCCUUCAUUUAUUCCUCACACAUUCCAAAUCCAAUCCUCUAAAAUAUCCAUUCUUUGGACCGAAUGUUCUAGUAUUUAGCAGUUUUAGCGGGCCCCUGAUUCACCGGAGAUCCCGAUAAUCACAAGAUUUCGGUUUGGAGUUCUGCCUACAUAGUGCAUGGGGUCCACUUUUGAAUUUGUGACUUGCUUUUAGUGGUUUCUUUGUGUCUUCCUUUUAUUGCUUAGUUGUUUAAGAAUUUAAUGCUUAAAGAACAAAGUCAUACAAUAACAAAUCUUUCAAUUUGAGUACCUUAUUCUUGGUGGUGUAGAGAAGAUCAAGCUUCUUGUUCUUUCCAUCUUCAUCAACACCCUAAAUCCAAGAGGAUCCAAAGCU